ACCAUAUUUCGCGUCCUUAAGAAACACCAUCUCCGGAUGAAGCAGAUCUACAGAGUCCCAUUUGAAAGGAAUUCCCAAAGAGUGAAGGAUAAAUGGACUGAACCCGUUGUCCUUUGACCUGUCCUCCAACAACGAACCCGUGCAGUUCAGCAACUCAAACGUGCCGCUGGUGUCAGACUGUCCCCUGGAGAACGGAGCUGAGAAGAGCAUUAAGAGGAAGAGACCCAGCCUGCUUCCAGAAGGGAUUCGUAACAUAUCCAUGGACAUGUCCAACCCCAUGUCAGACCCCAACGCCUGGGCCACCGCCAUGAACAACCUUGGCAUGGCUCCCAUGAACAUGACAGGACAGCCCCUUAUGUCAGAUUUUGACCAAGGCCUUGGCAUGAUGACAGGCAUCGGUCCCAUGAACCCCAUGAUGCCCGGCCUCGGCAUGGUGCCCCCACCCCCCCUCCCCCUUGAUCUGCCCAUCGUCAAGGAAAUCAUUCACUGC
Long non-coding RNA from Oncorhynchus gorbuscha (pink salmon), 490 nucleotides. RefSeq lists it as uncharacterized. The record is from RefSeq and is a predicted model, not a curated record. The transcript has 4 exons. Lineage: Eukaryota; Metazoa; Chordata; Actinopteri; Salmoniformes; Salmonidae.